ACUGAAAUAUGCAGCAAAGAAAGGUUUUUGAAGCUGGAAAAUUUCAGCAACAUAUUUCCCUUGCUUGUAAGUGAUUUUAAUGUCUUUGCUUGAUGAUUUUUGUAUUUUUGGAACCUCUAAAGCAUAAGCUUUCAUAAGAGGGGAUUAUUUUGCAAAAUGAUGAAGAGUCUAGGGUUUUACCAUGAGAGUAAAUGUGUUGUUUGCUAUGUUUUUAUGGAAGAUUAUGAGUCCUAGUUGUCUAAUAAACAACUUUUGUGAAAGAAAUUGCAUGAAAAUACCUUAAAAAGGGGUAAAUUGCUAAGUUGUAAAAUGAGUUGUAAAUGUGUAAAAUAGUUGAAAUUAUGAGUUUCUAUAGUUAUGAAAAUGGUUCAUCUAGACUCAAGGAGUAAAUAAAUGUGAUAAAAAUUAAUUUACGAGCAUUCGGGCAAAAGUGCAAAUAUGCAAAAGUUUAGGGGUCAAAAUGGAAAUUUGUAAAAAUAUGAUUUUUAGACCCAUAUGAAUAUUGUGACUGAUUGGUAGGCUAAAUGUGAUGUUAUAGAUGAUGAAAAUUGAGACUUGGACCUAGAACGGAAAGAAAUCGAUUUAUGGACGAGUAUGUCCUUUUCACCUUUGUGGUAUUGAGGUAAGUUCAUGUGUAAAUAAUGUAGCAUAAUUGUUAUUUUUAAGUCAUUGAUGUUAAAUAUAUGAUAUGCUGAUUUCUAUCAUGAAAUAUAUGCUUUGUGGUUAUUUUCGAAUAAAAUGUAAGUUAUGUGUAUUAUCUGUUAAAUAUAAAGUGCUACCGAGUAUUGGUUUCGGUAUUUUACGGAAGAUGGCAAGGAGAUGUGUUCGAGGAAAAUCCCGUUUGAACCUUAGGAAUAGAUUAGGAUACAAGUGACAUGUCACUAGGAUGGUUGAGCAUCCGAACUCGUUGAGUCGAGUCUGAGUUCACUUAUGGAUGCGAAUGUUCGAACUCGUUGAGUUGAGUCCGAGUUCGUGAGAUGUAACUAGGCAUCCGAGCUCGUUGAGUUGAGUCCGAGUUCACUUAUGGGUGGGUUACAUGGUAGCUUGGCUACAUAUGUGGCACUUAUGUGCAAACUUUCCAUGUAUCCGAAUUAUAUUCCGAUGUGUUCAACGGGUAAAAUUCUACUCAAAUGGAGGAAUACUCGAGAUGAAAGGGACGUAUUGGUAAAUGUUGUGAAAUGGAUACUUUGAACAGGUAUGUACUUAACCCUCGGGUUGAAAACUCGACAUAACAACAAUAUGGUAAGAUGAUAAAUGAAAAUGUGAUAUGAAUGUCUCGGUGAUGAUUAUACAAACGAUGUUGUAUUAAUUUUGUGAGCAAUGAUCAUAAAUGAGUAAUUUAGCCUUGACAGAUUUGAGUUACUGCAGUAGUGUAACUUUGAAAAUACACUAAAAAUAGUGGAAAAUGAGUUAGAGGCAGAAUAAAAUAUGGGAUUAAAGAUUAAUGAGUCUAUUUUCACAUGAAAGAAACAGAGGAAGAAAAAGAAUUCCAUAUUGUGUGAUAUUUGAAUUCUUGUGAAACAGGGUCUGAAUGAAUUCGAGAUCCCCUGUUCUGACUUUAGAAAUUCACCAAAAAUAGUACAAAAAUUAUAAAGAGUCAUACCUUACAUGAAUGGAUUCCUUAUUGAGUCUAUUUUUAGGGAAAAUAAACGCCAUGGUCGUUGGAAUUUUUUUACAGGGAGAAAUUUGGUUUGUAGUGCACAGGGGCCAGAGUGGUCAUACCCUGAAAAAGGGGAGAUUUUAACUAAUAAACUGUACUAAUUGGCCCAACCAAAAAUUCUAGAAAAAAAUUAGUAAGUAGAAAUAUGAGUCUAGUUUCAAGAGAAAUAGACGAGAACAUUAUUUGAGUCUUGUACUAUGAGAUAAUUGAACUUUAUUACAGAAGGGUCGGAACUGUCAGACAGUGAAUUAGGGGUAACUUUGAGGAAUAAACUGUACUAUUUGGCUUUACCAAAAAUUCUGAAAAUUUUAUGGAAAAAAUGAAAAUAAGUCUAGUUUCAGAGAAAUUAACGGAAUUUAAUUCGGAGUUUCGUAGCUCCAGAUAUAAAUAAUUUAGUGACUGUUGCUCAGGAAGACAGCUUGUAGUGAACUUGAGAAUAUGUUGUAAACAUUGAUAAAACAAGUUAAUGAGUUGCUUAUUGUUUUCAUAUGAACUUACUAAGCGAAAGGUUACCCCCCUUCUUUCCCAUGUUUUCUAGAGUUUCCAAGUUAGCUCGGGUUGGAGGCCGUCAGAGAUAUUAUCACCCUAUCGAGUUAACGUUAUCGGAGUAAGUAAACUCAAGUGAUUCGAGUCUAUGGCAUGUAUAGGGUUUUAAUGUGAGUAUGUAAUAUUAUGAUUUAGCCAAAGGCAUUGGCUUGUUAUUAAGGUAGUAUUAGUCAUGUAAAUUGGCCUAUGUCGGCUAAUGACGCUAUGGGCCCAUAUGAUUAUUCUUAUGCAUGUAUGUUAUUAUCUCUUGUGAUGUGGCUUACAACAUGUAUGCCUAGAGAUUGAAUUGAGAUUCAUUGAUGAGCUAGUAACUAAUGCAGGAUUAAGUGAUUGGUAAAUAGUUAAUAAUGCUUCAUGAAUGGUUUGUGAUGUAAUGAUAGUUAUGUCUAGUAUGUGGUAAUGAUAUGGGCAAAUUCUAUAAUAUUUAUUGCAUAAGAAAAUAACUUGAG
Molecule: long non-coding RNA, 2655 nt
Filed under: Gossypium barbadense (sea-island cotton)
Lineage: Eukaryota; Viridiplantae; Streptophyta; Magnoliopsida; Malvales; Malvaceae
Description: long non-coding RNA (GBAR_LNC002336)
Source: RNAcentral